GGAAUUUUGGACAAUGGGGGCAACCCUGAUCCAGCCAUGCCGCGUGCGGGAAGAAGGCCUUCGGGUUGUAAACCGCUUUCGGCCGGAACGAAAUCGCCCGGGUGAACAUCCCGGGUGGAUGACGGUACCGGAAGAAGAAGCACCGGCUAACUACGUGCCGGCCGCCGCGGUAAUACGGGGGGGGUAAGCGUUGUUCGGAAUUACUGGGCGUAAAGGGCUCGUAGGCGGCCAACUAAGUCAUACGUGAAAUCCCUCAGCUUAACUGGGGAACUGCGUGUGAUACUGGAUGGCUUGGAUUUGGGAGAGGGAUGCGGAAUUCCAGGUGUAGCGGUGAAAUGCGUAGAUAUCUGGAGGAACACCGGUGGCGAAGGCGGCAUCCUGGACCAAUAUUGACGCUGAGGAGCGAAAGCCAGGGGAGCAAAC
Molecule: ribosomal RNA, 423 nt
Filed under: uncultured bacterium
Lineage: Bacteria
Description: bacterial SSU rRNA
Rfam family: Bacterial small subunit ribosomal RNA
Source: RNAcentral